CGAAUACACAUCCUUCACAUUCUUUGGAGUCCUCCAGAUUCUUAUCCACUGUCAAAAUUUUAUUAUAAUUGAUCUGUAGAUCGUCGUUACUUGCUUCCUUUUCUUAUAGUCUUGCUAAAUUGCUAAUGUCUUUGAGUUGUUCACCUAUAACGUCUAAAUCAUCUACUAAGAAGAGGAUUCGUUAGGUGCUAUGUUUAAUCGAUAAGCCACUUCACUUCGCUGAAGCUCUCUUACCACCUUUUCCAACGCUACGUUAAACAGAAUUGAAGAGACCGCGCCUCCUUGUUUUAGACCCGUUUCAAUAUUUAAAAAAAGAU
Molecule: non-coding RNA, 317 nt
Organism: Cinara cedri
Lineage: Eukaryota; Metazoa; Arthropoda; Insecta; Hemiptera; Aphididae
Source: the annotation of a GenBank genome assembly